This 301-nucleotide ribosomal RNA is filed under the name uncultured bacterium. Its description in RNAcentral is "partial 16S ribosomal RNA". It matches the Rfam family "Bacterial small subunit ribosomal RNA", at positions 509 to 807 of the family's 1533-position model. The record is from RNAcentral.
CAGCAGCCGCGGGAAUACAGAGGGUGCGAGCGUUAAUCGGAUUUACUGGGCGUAAAGCGUGCGUAGGCGGCUAAUUGAGUCGGAUGUGAAAUCCCCGAGCUUAACUUGGGAAUUGCAUUCGAUACUGGUUAGCUAGAGUGUGGGAGAGGAUGGUAGAAUUCCAGGUGUAGCGGUGAAAUGCGUAGAGAUCUGGAGGAAUACCGAUGGCGAAGGCAGCCAUCUGGCCUAAUACUGACGCUGAGGUACGAAAGCAUGGGGAGCAAACAGGAUUAGAUACCCCAGUAGUCCCUGUCUCUUAUAC